Molecule: ribosomal RNA, 722 nt
Filed under: uncultured archaeon S30-12
Lineage: Archaea
Description: bacterial SSU rRNA
Rfam family: Archaeal small subunit ribosomal RNA
Source: RNAcentral
GGAAUCACCCCGGGAAACCGGGGAUAAUUCCGGAUAACGCACAUAUGCUGGAAUGCUUUAUGCGUAAAAUGGAUUCGUCUGCCCAAGGAUGGGUCUGCGGCCUAUCAGGUAGUAGUGGGUGUAAUGUACCUACUAGCCAACAACGGGUACGGGUUGUGAGAGCAAGAGCCCGGAGAUGGAUUCUGAGACAUGAAUCCAGGCCCUACGGGGCGCAGCAGGCGCGAAAACUUUACAAUGCGGGAAACCGUGAUAAGGGGACACCGAGUGCCAGCAUCAUAUGCUGGCUGUCCAGGUGUGUAAACUACACCUGUUAGCAAGGGCCGGGCAAGACCGGUGCCAGCCGCCGCGGUAACACCGGCGGCCCGAUGGUGAUCGUGAUUAUUGGGUCUAAAGGGUCCGUAGCCGGUUUGGUCAGUCCUCCGGGAAAUCUGAUAGCUCAACUAUUAGGCUUUCGGGGGAUACUGCCAGGCUUGGAACCGGGAGAGGUAAGAGGUACUACAGGGGUAGGAGUGAAAUCUUGUAAUCCCUGUGGGACCACCUGUGGCGAAGGCGUCUUACCAGAACGGGUUCGACGGUGAGGGACGAAAGCUGGGGGCACGAACCGGAUAAGAUACCCGGGUAGUCCCAGCCGUAAACGAUGCUCGCUAGGUGUCAGGCAUGGCGCGACCGUGUCUGGUGCCGCAGGGAAGCCGUGAAGCGAGCCACCUGGGAAGUACGGCCGC